RNAcentral lists this ribosomal RNA (253 nucleotides) under uncultured bacterium. RNAcentral describes it as "partial 16S ribosomal RNA". It matches the Rfam family "Bacterial small subunit ribosomal RNA", at positions 524 to 776 of the family's 1533-position model. The record is from RNAcentral.
UACGUAGGGGGCCAGCGUUGCUCGGAAUUACUGGGCGUAAAGGGUUCGUAGGGGGUGCGGCAAGUUGGGAGUGAAAUCUCUGGGCUUAACUCAGAGGCUGCUUUCAAAACUGCCGCGCUCGAGUGCGAGAGAGGUCAGUGGAAUUGCAGGUGUAGCGGUGAAAUGCGUAGAUAUCUGCAGGAACACCCGUGGCGAAGGCGGCUGACUGGAUCGCAACUGACACUGAGGAACGAAAGCUAGGGGAGCAAACAGG